RNAcentral lists this transfer RNA (76 nucleotides) under Inquilinus limosus MP06. Its description in RNAcentral is "tRNA-Val". It matches the Rfam family "tRNA". Rfam says of the family: Transfer RNA (tRNA) molecules are approximately 80 nucleotides in length. RNAcentral also lists the same sequence under 1 other name. The record is from RNAcentral. Lineage: Bacteria; Pseudomonadati; Pseudomonadota; Alphaproteobacteria; Rhodospirillales; Rhodospirillaceae.
GGGCGAUUAGCUCAGCUGGUAGAGCAUCGGUUUUACACACCGAGUGUCGGCGGUUCGAGCCCGUCAUCGCCCACCA